This 484-nucleotide ribosomal RNA is filed under the name uncultured bacterium. Its description in RNAcentral is "partial 16S ribosomal RNA". It matches the Rfam family "Bacterial small subunit ribosomal RNA", at positions 30 to 507 of the family's 1533-position model. The record is from RNAcentral.
AUUGAACGCUGGCGGCAGGCCUAACACAUGCAAGUCGAGCGGAUGAAGGGAGCUUGCUCCUGGAUUCAGCGGCGGACGGGUGAGUAAUGCCUAGGAAUCUGCCUGGUAGUGGGGGAUAACGUCCGGAAACGGGCGCUAAUACCGCAUACGUCCUGAGGGAGAAAGUGGGGGAUCUUCGGACCUCACGCUAUCAGAUGAGCCUAGGUCGGAUUAGCUAGUUGGUGGGGUAAAGGCCUACCAAGGCGACGAUCCGUAACUGGUCUGAGAGGAUGAUCAGUCACACUGGAACUGAGACACGGUCCAGACUCCUACGGGAGGCAGCAGUGGGGAAUCUUGGGCGCUGGGCGCACGCCUGCUCCUGACCUGCCGCGUGUGUGAAGAAGGUCUUCGGAUUGUAAAGCACUUUAAGUUGGGAGGAAGGGCAGUAAGUUUAUACCUUGCUGUUUUGACGUUACCCACAGAAUAAGCACCGGCUCACUUCGUG